This 372-nucleotide ribosomal RNA is filed under the name Triticum aestivum (bread wheat). RNAcentral describes it as "partial small subunit ribosomal RNA". The record is from RNAcentral. Lineage: Eukaryota; Viridiplantae; Streptophyta; Magnoliopsida; Poales; Poaceae.
AUGCAACGGAUCAAAUUACCCAAAAACUUGUUCACCACUUCCAUUUGUCCAUCUGUUUGUGUAUGGGCAGUGCUAGAAAAUUUCAAUUCAAUGUUGAAUUGCUUCCACGAGGAGGGGGAGGAGGUCAGGCUUGAUGGGCAGGUGGUGCCUCAGAAGUACACCUUUAGAUAUUUGGGGUCUAUGCUGCAAAAGGAUGGGGAUAUCAAUGAAGAUGUGAAUCGUCGAAUCAAAGCCGGAUGGAUGAAAUGGCACCAAGCUUUUGGCACUCUAUGUGACAAGAGAGUGCCACAAAAGCUAAAAGUUAGGUGUGGCGGAGAUGCGCAUGUUGAGAUGGAUGUGUGGCCACACAAGGAAGGACCGGAUACGGAAUGA